UCUCCUGAGCUCAAAGAGCAAUGAUUGGAGGAACCCAAAAUAGCUGUUAUACAGGGGGCUGACCUGAGAUACCUCAGGAUAGGAGGGACUAAAUCACACUUUCCCACCUAACUGGGAAAGACCAGAAGACAACUGCUGAUAACACCUACAAGCUGCUGAAAUGUCUUUUUUCCCCCAAGCUAAGGACAAUCUAUGAUCUUUUUGUGAAAUGACAGAAAACGAGUCACUUCCAAGGGUACCCAUGAAUGAUAUAGUAGGUAGUUUUGGAGUCUAUCUCCCUAGUGUAAACCAUAAUACAAUUUAUUACUUAAGUAAAGCUGACUUUUCCCCAUGGCAGAAGCAGCCAGAGACCUUCCUUCUGAUCUUGGCUAUUAUCUGUCAGUUCCCAAGCAAAGCCCGGGAGAUGUUUCAAUAUUCUCUCUAACCAUCCAUAUCUAAUCAGGAAAUUCUCCAAGGAAAUGUCUUGUCUCAUUGAUGCCCAUUUUAUUGUCAAAGACCAUUACAUCCCAGGUUUUCACACUGACCUGUCCUGUGGCCAUCAGAACUGGCUUACUGGAGACAUCUUUUUCCAUCAUGGAGAACACUUAGCUGUGUAUCCUGCCAGACUUCUAGGAAGGAGAUGCUUUCCUUGCCUCUUCUGCUGAAUUCAGGCUGAAUUCCUAAAUUCUGAAGCACAAAAGCCUAGGAUGCAGGAGAGGAUAAAUAGCUGCCACCAUUCCAUAUUUUCCAUGUGAGAAAUCUAGCAUAGAAUGGGUUGAGGGAUUGAUUAUAUUACAGUUUCCAAAGAAAGCCUUUGUUGCAUUUAGCAGAUGCAUGGGAUUUGUAAUGUCCAUUCAUGGUGGAAAGACAUAUCCAUAUAAAUCUGACCAUAAUUUGAAAGAAUUUUGGCA
Cebus imitator (Panamanian white-faced capuchin) is the source of this 890-nucleotide long non-coding RNA. RefSeq lists it as uncharacterized. The record is from RefSeq and is a predicted model, not a curated record. NCBI's taxonomy places the organism in Eukaryota, Metazoa, Chordata, Mammalia, Primates, Cebidae. The transcript has 6 exons.